GAGCUUCUGUGGGCUCAUGAAUACGUAAACCCUACAGACACAAAGAAAGGGAACUGUCCCUGGUAACGGUGAGCAAGCUCAACUCGGAUUGAGAAGCCUAAAGUUACUAUCAUGGUUACCCACCUUAACAAAACCGGGUUUGCAGGUUCACUGAGUUCCCACAGAAGAUUU
This 171-nucleotide non-coding RNA is filed under the name Bdellovibrio sp. RNAcentral describes it as "6S RNA". It matches the Rfam family "6S / SsrS RNA". Rfam says of the family: E. coli 6S RNA was the first non coding RNA to be sequenced, but its function was unknown until recently. It consists of 184 nucleotides that fold into an extended hairpin structure with a large single-stranded internal bulge. The 6S RNA specifically associates with RNA polymerase holoenzyme containing the sigma70 specificity factor. Lineage: Bacteria; Pseudomonadati; Bdellovibrionota; Bdellovibrionia; Bdellovibrionales; Pseudobdellovibrionaceae. The record is from RNAcentral.